RNAcentral lists this ribosomal RNA (292 nucleotides) under uncultured bacterium. RNAcentral's name for it is "partial 16S ribosomal RNA". It matches the Rfam family "Bacterial small subunit ribosomal RNA", at positions 505 to 796 of the family's 1533-position model. The record is from RNAcentral.
GUGUCAGCAGCCGCGGUAAUACAGAGGUCCCGAGCGUUGUUCGGAUUUACUGGGCGUAAAGGGUGCGUAGGCGGUGGGGUAAGUUUGAGGUGAAAGCUCCGGGCUCAACCCGGAAACUGCCUUGAAAACUAUCCGGCUAGAGGGUUGGAGGGGAGACUGGAAUUCUCGGUGUAGCAGUGAAAUGCGUAGAUCUCGAGAGGAACACCAGUGGCGAAGGCGGGUCUCUGGACAACACCUGACGCUGAGGCACGAAAGCCAGGGGAGCAAACGGGAUUAGAUACCCCUGUAGUCC